GCUGGGUGUGGUGGCGGGCGCCUGUAAUCCCAGCUACUCAGGAGGCUGAGGCAGGAGAAUUGCUUGAACCCGGGAGACAGAGGUUGCAGUGAGCCAACAUCGUGCCACUGCACUCCAGCCUGGGCGACAGAGCAAGACUCUGUCUCAA
This 148-nucleotide non-coding RNA is filed under the name Pan troglodytes (chimpanzee). Lineage: Eukaryota; Metazoa; Chordata; Mammalia; Primates; Hominidae. The record is from Rfam by way of RNAcentral.